This 243-nucleotide long non-coding RNA is filed under the name Hordeum vulgare. Its description in RNAcentral is "long non-coding RNA (HVUL_LNC009253)". The record is from RNAcentral. Lineage: Eukaryota; Viridiplantae; Streptophyta; Magnoliopsida; Poales; Poaceae.
CUCUCGCAAGCAUCCGCAACUACGAAAGAAGAAUUAAGACAAAGUCUAACCAUAACAUUAAAGUAGUGGAUCCAAAUCAGCCCCUUAUGAAGCAACACAUAAACUAGGGUUUCAGCUUCUGUCACUCUAGCAACCCAUCAUCUACUUACUACUUCCCAAUGCCUUCCUCUAGGCCCAAAUAAUGGUGAAGUGUUAUGUAGUCGACGUUCACAUAACACCACUAGAGGAGAAACAACAUACAAC